Molecule: ribosomal RNA, 587 nt
Filed under: uncultured bacterium
Lineage: Bacteria
Description: partial 16S ribosomal RNA
Rfam family: Bacterial small subunit ribosomal RNA
Source: RNAcentral
UGGGGAAUUUUGGACAAUGGGCGAAAGCCUGAUCCAGCAAUGCCGCGUGUGUGAAGAAGGCCUUCGGGUUGUAAAGCACUUUUGUCCGGAAAGAAAUCCUUGGCUCUAAUACAGUCGGGGGAUGACGGUACCGGAAGAAUAAGCACCGGCUAACUACGUGCCAGCAGCCGCGGUAAUACGUAGGGUGCAAGCGUUAAUCGGAAUUACUGGGCGUAAAGCGUGCGCAGGCGGUUUGCUAAGACCGAUGUGAAAUCCCCGGGCUCAACCUGGGAACUGCAUUGGUGACUGGCAGGCUAGAGUAUGGCAGAGGGGGGUAGAAUUCCACGUGUAGCAGUGAAAUGCAUAGAGAUGUGGAGGAAUACCGAUGGCGAAGGCAGCCCCCUGGGCCAAUACUGACGCUCAUGCACGAAAGCGUGGGGAGCAAACAGGAUUAGAUACCCUGGUAGUCCACGCCCCUAAAACGAUGUCAACUAGUUGUUGGGGAUUCAUUUUCUUAGUAACGUAGCUAACGCGUGAAGUUGACCGCCUGGGGAGUACGGUCGCAAGAUUAAAACUUAAAUGAAUUGACGGGGUCAUAGCUGUUUCCU